UUUCCGGUUGAUCCCGCCGGAGGUCACUGCUAUCGGGGUUCGAUUAAGCCAUGCGAGUCGAGAGGGUUCGGCCCUCGGCGUACUGCUCAGUAACACGUGGAUAACCUGCCCUAGGGAAGGGGAUAACCCCGGGAAACUGGGGAUAAUACCCUAUAGGUUACAGAUGCUGGAAUGCUCUGUAACCCAAAGUUCCGGCGCCCUAGGAUGGAUCUGCGGCCGAUUAGGUUGUUGUUGGGGUAAUGGCCCAACAAGCCAGUAAUCGGUACGGGUUGUGGGAGCAAGAGCCCGGAGUUGGAUUCUGAGACACGAAUCCAGGCCCUACGGGGCGCAGCAGGCGCGAAAACUUUACAAUGCGGGCAACCGUGAUAAGGGAACCUCGAGUGCCUGUAAAUGCAGGCUGUUUAGGUGUUUAAAACGCACCUGGAGAAAGGGCCGGGCAAGACCGGUGCCAGCCGCCGCGGUAAUACCGGCGGCUCGAGUGGUGGCCACUUUUAUUGGGCUUAAAGCGUUCGUAGCUGGGUUGUUAAGUCUCUUGGGAAAUCUGGCGGCUUAACCGUCAGGCGUCUAAGGGAUACUGGCAAUCUUGGAACCGGGAGAGGUGAGGGGUACUUCGGGGGUAGGAGUGAAAUCCUGUAAUCCUCGAGGGACCACCUGUGGCGAAGGCGCCUCACCAGAACGGCUUCGACAGUGAGGGACGAAAGCUGGGGGAGCAAACCGGAUUAGAUACCCGGGUAGUCCCAGCCGUAAACUAUGCGCGUUAGGUGUAUCGGUGACCACGAGUUACCGAGGUGCCGAAGGGAAACCGUGAAACGUGCCGCCUGGGAAGUACGGUCGCAAGGCUGAAACUUAAAGGAAUUGGCGGGA
Molecule: ribosomal RNA, 864 nt
Filed under: uncultured archaeon
Lineage: Archaea
Description: bacterial SSU rRNA
Rfam family: Archaeal small subunit ribosomal RNA
Source: RNAcentral